UACAGAGGGGGCAAGCGUUGUUCGGAAUUACUGGGCGUAAAGGGCGCGUAGGCGGCCUGCUAAGUCGAACGUGAAAUCCCCGAGCUCAACUCGGGAACUGCGUCCGAUACUGGCAGGCUUGAAUCCGGGAGAGGGAAGCGGAAUUCCCGGUGUAGUGGUGAAAUGCGUAGAUAUCGGGAGGAACACCAGUGGCGAAGGCGGCUUUCUGGCCUGUUCUUGACGCUGAGGCGCGAAAGCUAGGGGAGCAAACGGG
RNAcentral lists this ribosomal RNA (253 nucleotides) under uncultured bacterium. RNAcentral describes it as "partial 16S ribosomal RNA". It matches the Rfam family "Bacterial small subunit ribosomal RNA", at positions 524 to 776 of the family's 1533-position model. The record is from RNAcentral.